This 2615-nucleotide ribosomal RNA is filed under the name Clostridioides difficile. RNAcentral's name for it is "bacterial SSU rRNA". The stretch from base 1266 to 2615 matches the Rfam family "Bacterial small subunit ribosomal RNA". The record is from RNAcentral. Lineage: Bacteria; Bacillati; Bacillota; Clostridia; Peptostreptococcales; Peptostreptococcaceae.
GCACUUUAAGCAACGGGAUUUAUCCGUUGGCGCUGUGCGUUAGCACUUUAAGCAACGGAAUUUAUUCGUUGGCGACGUGCUUUAGCACUUUGAAAACUGCAUAUAUAUUUAGUGAUAUGACAUCUAAUUUGUAAUAUAUAAAGCUGAUAACUUUUAAAAAUUAUCAAGUUGAUAGACUUUAAUCUAUCAAACCUUUUUAACUGGUCAAGUUAUUAAGGGUGCAGGGCGGAUGCCUUGGCACUAGGAGCCGAUGAAGGACGUGAUAAGCUGCGAUAAGCUUCGGGGAGUUGCACGUAAACUUUGAUCCGAAGAUUUCCGAAUGAGGAAACUCACUUAGAGUAAUGUCUAAGUAUCAUUAAGUGAAUACAUAGCUUAAUGAGGGGAACUCAGGGAACUGAAACAUCUAAGUACCUGAAGGAAGAGAAAGAAAUUCGAUUCCGUAAGUAGCGGCGAGCGAACGCGGAUUAGCCCAAACCAAUAAAGUUUUCUUUAUUGGGGUUGCGGACAUAUCAUAACGAAGAGGUAUCGUAAUUGAAGAGGUUUGGAAAGACCCACCACAGAAGGUAAUAGUCCUGUAUGUUAAACGAGAAGACUUCAGAUAUGAUCCAGAGUACCACGGGACACGUGAAACCCUGUGGGAAGCAGGAGGGACCACCCUCCAAGGCUAAAUACUACCUAGUGACCGAUAGCGUAUAGUACCGUGAGGGAAAGGUGAAAAGAACCCCGGGAGGGGAGUGAAAUAGAACCUGAAACCCUGCACUUACAAGCUGUGGAAGCACAUUUCUUGUGUGACCGCGUACUUUUUGUAGAACGGGCCAACGAGUUACGUUAAGUAGCAAGGUUAAGCACUUAAGGUGCGGAGCCGUAGCGAAAGCGAGUUUUAACUGAGCGUUCAGUUACUUGACGUAGACCCGAAACCGGGCGACCUACCCAUGAGCAGGAUGAAGCGAAAGUAAAAUUUCGUGGAGGUCCGAACCCACGAGCGUUGAAAAGCUCGGGGAUGACUUGUGGGUAGCGGUGAAAUUCCAAUCGAGCCCGGAGAUAGCUGGUUCUCCCCGAAAUAGCUUUAGGGCUAGCCUCAAGGUGAGAGAUACGGAGGUAGAGCACUGAAUGUCCUAGGGGGUAUUGCACCUACCGAAGACUAUCAAACUCCGAAUGCCGUCAUCUUAUACUUGGGAGUCAGACUGUGGGUGAUAAGAUUCAUAGUCGAAAGGGCAACAGCCCAGAUCGUCAGCUAAGGUCCCUAAAUGUAAGUUAAGUGGUAAAGGAUGUGGGAUUGCACAGACAACCAGGAUGUUGGCUUAGAAGCAGCCACUCAUUCAAAGAGUGCGUAAUAGCUCACUGGUCGAGUGAUCCUGCGCCGAAGAUUUCCGGGGCUAAAACUUACUACCGAAGCUACGGCAUCAGUAAUGAUGNACAUUGGAACUGAGACACGGUCCAAACUCCUACGGGAGGCAGCAGUGGGGAAUAUUGCACAAUGGGCGAAAGCCUGAUGCAGCAACGCCGCGUGAGUGAUGAAGGCCUUCGGGUCGUAAAACUCUGUCCUCAAGGAAGAUAAUGACGGUACUUGAGGAGGAAGCCCCGGCUAACUACGUGCCAGCAGCCGCGGUAAUACGUAGGGGGCUAGCGUUAUCCGGAUUUACUGGGCGUAAAGGGUGCGUAGGCGGUCUUUCAAGUCAGGAGUGAAAGGCUACGGCUCAACCGUAGUAAGCUCUUGAAACUGGGAGACUUGAGUGCAGGAGAGGAGAGUGGAAUUCCUAGUGUAGCGGUGAAAUGCGUAGAUAUUAGGAGGAACACCAGUUGCGAAGGCGGCUCUCUGGACUGUAACUGACGCUGAGGCACGAAAGCGUGGGGAGCAAACAGGAUUAGAUACCCUGGUAGUCCACGCUGUAAACGAUGAGUACUAGGUGUCGGGGGUUACCCCCUUCGGUGCCGCAGCUAACGCAUUAAGUACUCCGCCUGGGAAGUACGCUCGCAAGAGUGAAACUCAAAGGAAUUGACGGGGACCCGCACAAGUAGCGGAGCAUGUGGUUUAAUUCGAAGCAACGCGAAGAACCUUACCUAAGCUUGACAUCCCAAUGACAUCUCCUUAAUCGGAGAGUUCCCUUCGGGGACAUUGGUGACAGGUGGUGCAUGGUUGUCGUCAGCUCGUGUCGUGAGAUGUUGGGUUAAGUCCCGCAACGAGCGCAACCCUUGUCUUUAGUUGCCAUCAUUAAGUUGGGCACUCUAGAGAGACUGCCAGGGAUAACCUGGAGGAAGGUGGGGAUGACGUCAAAUCAUCAUGCCCCUUAUGCUUAGGGCUACACACGUGCUACAAUGGGUAGUACAGAGGGUUGCCAAGCCGUAAGGUGGAGCUAAUCCCUUAAAGCUACUCUCAGUUCGGAUUGUAGGCUGAAACUCGCCUACAUGAAGCUGGAGUUACUAGUAAUCGCAGAUCAGAAUGCUGCGGUGAAUGCGUUCCCGGGUCUUGUACACACCGCCCGUCACACCACGGGAGUUGGAGACGCCCGAAGCCGAUUAUCUAACCUUUUGGAAGAAGUCGUCGAAGGUGGAAUCAAUAACUGGGGUGAAGUCGUAACAAGGUAGCCGUAUCGGAAGGUGCGGCUGGAUCACCU